Molecule: ribosomal RNA, 2924 nt
Filed under: Escherichia coli 96.0497
Lineage: Bacteria; Pseudomonadati; Pseudomonadota; Gammaproteobacteria; Enterobacterales; Enterobacteriaceae
Description: bacterial LSU rRNA
Rfam family: Bacterial large subunit ribosomal RNA
Source: RNAcentral
GAAACAUCUUCGGGUUGUGAGGUUAAGCGACUAAGCGUACACGGUGGAUGCCCUGGCAGUCAGAGGCGAUGAAGGACGUGCUAAUCUGCGAUAAGCGUCGGUAAGGUGAUAUGAACCGUUAUAACCGGCGAUUUCCGAAUGGGGAAACCCAGUGUGAUUCGUCACACUAUCAUUAACUGAAUCCAUAGGUUAAUGAGGCGAACCGGGGGAACUGAAACAUCUAAGUACCCCGAGGAAAAGAAAUCAACCGAGAUUCCCCCAGUAGCGGCGAGCGAACGGGGAGGAGCCCAGAGCCUGAAUCAGUGUGUGUGUUAGUGGAAGCGUCUGGAAAGGCGCGCGAUACAGGGUGACAGCCCCGUACACAAAAAUGCACAUGCUGUGAGCUCGAUGAGUAGGGCGGGACACGUGGUAUCCUGUCUGAAUAUGGGGGGACCAUCCUCCAAGGCUAAAUACUCCUGACUGACCGAUAGUGAACCAGUACCGUGAGGGAAAGGCGAAAAGAACCCCGGCGAGGGGAGUGAAAAAGAACCUGAAACCGUGUACGUACAAGCAGUGGGAGCACGCUUAGGCGUGUGACUGCGUACCUUUUGUAUAAUGGGUCAGCGACUUAUAUUCUGUAGCAAGGUUAACCGAAUAGGGGAGCCGAAGGGAAACCGAGUCUUAACUGGGCGUUAAGUUGCAGGGUAUAGACCCGAAACCCGGUGAUCUAGCCAUGGGCAGGUUGAAGGUUGGGUAACACUAACUGGAGGACCGAACCGACUAAUGUUGAAAAAUUAGCGGAUGACUUGUGGCUGGGGGUGAAAGGCCAAUCAAACCGGGAGAUAGCUGGUUCUCCCCGAAAGCUAUUUAGGUAGCGCCUCGUGAAUUCAUCUCCGGGGGUAGAGCACUGUUUCGGCAAGGGGGUCAUCCCGACUUACCAACCCGAUGCAAACUGCGAAUACCGGAGAAUGUUAUCACGGGAGACACACGGCGGGUGCUAACGUCCGUCGUGAAGAGGGAAACAACCCAGACCGCCAGCUAAGGUCCCAAAGUCAUGGUUAAGUGGGAAACGAUGUGGGAAGGCCCAGACAGCCAGGAUGUUGGCUUAGAAGCAGCCAUCAUUUAAAGAAAGCGUAAUAGCUCACUGGUCGAGUCGGCCUGCGCGGAAGAUGUAACGGGGCUAAACCAUGCACCGAAGCUGCGGCAGCGACGCUUAUGCGUUGUUGGGUAGGGGAGCGUUCUGUAAGCCUGUGAAGGUGUACUGUGAGGUAUGCUGGAGGUAUCAGAAGUGCGAAUGCUGACAUAAGUAACGAUAAAGCGGGUGAAAAGCCCGCUCGCCGGAAGACCAAGGGUUCCUGUCCAACGUUAAUCGGGGCAGGGUGAGUCGACCCCUAAGGCGAGGCCGAAAGGCGUAGUCGAUGGGAAACAGGUUAAUAUUCCUGUACUUGGUGUUACUGCGAAGGGGGGACGGAGAAGGCUAUGUUGGCCGGGCGACGGUUGUCCCGGUUUAAGCGUGUAGGCUGGUUUUCCAGGCAAAUCCGGAAAAUCAAGGCUGAGGCGUGAUGACGAGGCACUACGGUGCUGAAGCAACAAAUGCCCUGCUUCCAGGAAAAGCCUCUAAGCAUCAGGUAACAUCAAAUCGUACCCCAAACCGACACAGGUGGUCAGGUAGAGAAUACCAAGGCGCUUGAGAGAACUCGGGUGAAGGAACUAGGCAAAAUGGUGCCGUAACUUCGGGAGAAGGCACGCUGAUAUGUAGGUGAAGUCCCUCGCGGAUGGAGCUGAAAUCAGUCGAAGAUACCAGCUGGCUGCAACUGUUUAUUAAAAACACAGCACUGUGCAAACACGAAAGUGGACGUAUACGGUGUGACGCCUGCCCGGUGCCGGAAGGUUAAUUGAUGGGGUCAGCGCAAGCGAAGCUCUUGAUCGAAGCCCCGGUAAACGGCGGCCGUAACUAUAACGGUCCUAAGGUAGCGAAAUUCCUUGUCGGGUAAGUUCCGACCUGCACGAAUGGCGUAAUGAUGGCCAGGCUGUCUCCACCCGAGACUCAGUGAAAUUGAACUCGCUGUGAAGAUGCAGUGUACCCGCGGCAAGACGGAAAGACCCCGUGAACCUUUACUAUAGCUUGACACUGAACAUUGAGCCUUGAUGUGUAGGAUAGGUGGGAGGCUUUGAAGUGUGGACGCCAGUCUGCAUGGAGCCGACCUUGAAAUACCACCCUUUAAUGUUUGAUGUUCUAACGUGGACCCGUAAUCCGGGUUGCGGACAGUGUCUGGUGGGUAGUUUGACUGGGGCGGUCUCCUCCUAAAGAGUAACGGAGGAGCACGAAGGUUGGCUAAUCCUGGUCGGACAUCAGGAGGUUAGUGCAAUGGCAUAAGCCAGCUUGACUGCGAGCGUGACGGCGCGAGCAGGUGCGAAAGCAGGUCAUAGUGAUCCGGUGGUUCUGAAUGGAAGGGCCAUCGCUCAACGGAUAAAAGGUACUCCGGGGAUAACAGGCUGAUACCGCCCAAGAGUUCAUAUCGACGGCGGUGUUUGGCACCUCGAUGUCGGCUCAUCACAUCCUGGGGCUGAAGUAGGUCCCAAGGGUAUGGCUGUUCGCCAUUUAAAGUGGUACGCGAGCUGGGUUUAGAACGUCGUGAGACAGUUCGGUCCCUAUCUGCCGUGGGCGCUGGAGAACUGAGGGGGGCUGCUCCUAGUACGAGAGGACCGGAGUGGACGCAUCACUGGUGUUCGGGUUGUCAUGCCAAUGGCACUGCCCGGUAGCUAAAUGCGGAAGAGAUAAGUGCUGAAAGCAUCUAAGCACGAAACUUGCCCCGAGAUGAGUUCUCCCUGACCCUUUAAGGGUCCUGAAGGAACGUUGAAGACGACGACGUUGAUAGGCCGGGUGUGUAAGCGCAGCGAUGCGUUGAGCUAACCGGUACUAAUGAACCGUGAGGCUUAACCUU